This 496-nucleotide ribosomal RNA is filed under the name uncultured bacterium. RNAcentral's name for it is "partial 16S ribosomal RNA". It matches the Rfam family "Bacterial small subunit ribosomal RNA", at positions 28 to 507 of the family's 1533-position model. The record is from RNAcentral.
GAUGAACGCUGGCGGCGUGCCUAAUACAUGCAAGUCGAGCGAACAGACGAGGAGCUUGCUCCUCUGACGUUAGCGGCGGACGGGUGAGUAACACGUGGAUAACCUACCUAUAAGACUGGGAUAACUUCGGGAAACCGGAGCUAUACCGGAUAAUAUAUUGAACCGCAUGGUUCAAUAGUGAAAGACGGUUUUGCUGUCACUUAUAGAUGGAUCCGCGCCGCAUUAGCUAGUUGGUAAGGUAACGGCUUAUCAAGGCGACGAUGCGUAGCCGACCUGAGAGGGUGAUCGGCCACACUGGAACUGAGACACGGUCCAGACUCCUACGGGAGGCAGCAGUAGGGAAUCUUCCGCAAUGGGCGAAAGCUUGACGGAGCAACGCCGCGUGAGUGAUGAAGGUCUUCGGAUCGUAAAACUCUGUUAUUAGGGAAGAACAAAUGUGUAAGUAACUAUGCACGUCUUGACGGUACCUAAUCAGAAAGCCACGGCUAACUACGUG